UGAUUGGUGAUGAGGAUAUGGAGAUGCA
Molecule: non-coding RNA, 28 nt
Filed under: Mus musculus (house mouse)
Lineage: Eukaryota; Metazoa; Chordata; Mammalia; Rodentia; Muridae
Source: RNAcentral